AUUAAAGUGGCAGAGUCUGGUAAAUGCAAAAGGCCUAAAACCUUUACCUCGAGAGUUCAAAUCCCUCCUUUAAU
RNAcentral lists this transfer RNA (74 nucleotides) under Eurycea wilderae. RNAcentral's name for it is "tRNA-Leu". It matches the Rfam family "tRNA". Rfam says of the family: Transfer RNA (tRNA) molecules are approximately 80 nucleotides in length. Lineage: Eukaryota; Metazoa; Chordata; Amphibia; Caudata; Plethodontidae. The record is from RNAcentral.